UGGCUCAGAGUUAAAGAACCCACCUGCAAAUGCAGGAGAUACAUGUUCGAUCCCUGGGUAGGGAAGAUCCCCUGGGCAAGGAAAUGACAAACCACUCCAGGAGUCUUGCCUGGAAAAUCCCAUGGACAGAGGAGCCUCGUGGACUAUGUCCAUGUGAUUGCAAGAGUCUGACACGACUUAGUGACUAAACAAUAAAAAUGUGAGGCUUUUUUCUCUACAUGUUGGGACCAGAAUGCUGGAGCAUUAGCGUGGCCUGCUCUCCAGGGGUUAACUGCCUUGAAGAUCUGAUACUGACCUUUGCCUUCUUCUAUGAUGUCAGCCAAGAAACCUCACUUCACAUUUGCAUCCCUUUGCUAUGGGAGGGGGGGCGCUUAGGGAGCCCAGCUUCUGUCCUGAUGAGGCGCCAGAGCCCUAUCAAAAAAUGCAUUGGCUGACUCUCUUUCACCCCUUCCAGAGGAGAAGCACUCAGGGUCACUGGAAUCCCAAGGGUCUGGGAGCUACUGCAAGUCAACUAUCUCCUGAUCCCUCAAAGGUGUCUGGAUCUUUCAGAAGCCAAUGUGCGUACUCAAAUUACUCCUUUCACCACACGAAUCAAACUCUUGGGCAUAGGAGCUUUCAAGCAAAAAGCAGAUUUUGCCUUCUUACAGAGGGUAGGUGCAGGGCGGGUUGGCCCACGCUGCCAACACCCAGCCCCAUUCUUCAGCUGCCAGGGAGCUGAAGCUGGAGUUGAGCCAGCAGUGACUGAAGAAGCCAGAAUACCCAGAGGGCUGCAUAGGUCCACGCCAUGAUAGGAAGCAGGACCACACAUAUUUUUGAUUGGCUCCUGGCAUCUGUGGAAUUUGUUAACCUCGUUAUGCCAUCCAGGUGGGUGGAGCCAGUUGUGCAUCAGGCUUUCUGCUCUGUUGCUUGCAGCCACAAAUGCGUCAGACCCAGCACUCUUAGAAUCCAAGGGAUUGGCUCGUGGAGUGCGUCAUGGAGUUGAGCGGCUCGGCUACUGCUCUUCUCGCAGCUCCCAGGCUCAGGGCUCCUGAUCGAUUUAUCCCCGCCCCCUUUGCCAAGAUGGUCUCAUCCGAGAAGGCGGCUGUUGGCGGAAGAACAAGCUUCGCAUCCCACCUCUGGUACCAUAGGAUCACAGUGAUGCUCAGGGACUGUUCCUAUGCCCAUGCCUUUUGGGAGGAAAACAUCCAUGCUGAAGUUCUCAGGUGUCUUGGCAAAAACUAUGCAAGGAAAAUGGUUCAGAGGGUUUUGGACAGAAUGCUGACAGGAUAUCAUGUCUGUCUGAGUCUACAUAUGGGAGGAUGUAGCUUCUCUGCCUGGCCUGCAACUGCAGCAUGCUCUGGAGAGGAAGGAUGCUCAGUCCAGGGGAGCAGGAGAAGAGGAUGGUGAGAAGCUGCAGAGGCCAGUGAGUACCGCUGGGCAAGGGUAAAUUUGCUGGGGUGUCACACUGGGAUAAAAGAGGACCUGGGAAG
RNAcentral lists this long non-coding RNA (1469 nucleotides) under Bos indicus x Bos taurus (hybrid cattle). RNAcentral describes it as "lncRNA (ENSBIXG00000006169.1)". The record is from RNAcentral. Lineage: Eukaryota; Metazoa; Chordata; Mammalia; Artiodactyla; Bovidae.